Molecule: ribosomal RNA, 468 nt
Filed under: uncultured bacterium
Lineage: Bacteria
Description: partial 16S ribosomal RNA
Rfam family: Bacterial small subunit ribosomal RNA
Source: RNAcentral
GACGAACGCUGGCGGCGUGCUUAACACAUGCAAGUCGAACGGAAAGGCCCUGCUUUUGUGGGGUGCUCGAGUGGCGAACGGGUGAGUAACACGUGAGUAACCUGCCCUUGACUUUGGGAUAACUUCAGGAAACUGGGGCUAAUACCGGAUAGGAGCUCCUGCUGCAUUGUGGGGGUUGGAAAGUUUCGGCGGUUGGGGAUGGACUCGCGGCUUACCAGCUUGUUGGUGGGGUAGUGGCUUACCAAGGCUUUGACGGGUAGCCGGCCUGAGAGGGUGACCGGCCACAUUGGGACUGAGAUACGGCCCAGACUCCUACGGGAGGCAGCAGUGGGGAAUAUUGCACAAUGGGUGGAAGCCUGAUGCAGCAACGCCGCGUGCGGGAUGACGGCCUUCGGGUUGUAAACCGCUUUCGCCUGUGACGAAGCGUGAGUGACGGUAAUGGGUAAAGAAGCACCGGCUAACUACGUG